AAGAAAUACAAGCUCGCGUUACAAAGAAUAUUUCCCUGGUUUAUCAGCUCUCCCCCUCCCAGCUGGGGCUCAGAAUGAUUUCUUAGUUCCCAGCUUUUAUGCCUCUGAUCAAAGUGCCUGAGGCGGUGAGAGUUGGCGGCACCUGCAUUUCCGACUGAGUCCAACGCUUUCCUCUUCAGGACUGUUGGGAGAACCUGCGGCUCCUGGGCUUUGCACAGUUGCCCUUCAGAGGACUGGAGUGGGUGAUUGAACCUCUCUGCUUGAGAAAGAGAAGUUGCUCCAGGUGUUGCAUUGGCUACUGUUCAGAGGACACUCCUUGUAUAAGAAAGGUCCAGAAGAUGGUACCACGUGUAGAGAGGCGGGGCCCUCACAGCUGCUCAGAGUAUCCAG
Molecule: long non-coding RNA, 390 nt
Organism: Meriones unguiculatus (Mongolian gerbil)
Lineage: Eukaryota; Metazoa; Chordata; Mammalia; Rodentia; Muridae
Exons: 3
Source: RefSeq, a predicted model, not a curated record